Non-coding RNA from Pelobates cultripes (western spadefoot toad), 233 nucleotides. Lineage: Eukaryota; Metazoa; Chordata; Amphibia; Anura; Pelobatidae. The record is from the annotation of a GenBank genome assembly.
CUACCUAUAGUAAACAAACUGUAGAACUUAGGAGCAAGAGCUCCUGUGUGUAUAGUCGGUACUUUUAGAAUUUUAAUACAGGGGUUUGUCUGUAUGUUAAGCUUGCAUUUACAUGCUAUGGUGUGUUUGGAUGUAGUGUUGGAUUUUAAAUGCGGGUGUACAUUUGUGUGUAGUAUUGGUGUUAAUGCACAGUAUCUCCACUGGGUAACAGGAACAGCAUAGAAUCCUUCAAG